This 68-nucleotide transfer RNA is filed under the name Marmota monax (woodchuck). RNAcentral describes it as "tRNA.Ala". The record is from RNAcentral. Lineage: Eukaryota; Metazoa; Chordata; Mammalia; Rodentia; Sciuridae.
GGUUUGCAGCUCAGUGGUAGAGCACUUGCUUAGCAUGUGUGAGGCACUGGGUUCGAUUCUCAGCACCA